CUUGUGGCCCCCGCGGUGCGGAGUAUGGGGUGCUGAUGGCCAUGGAGGGCUACUGGCGCUUCCUGGCGCUGCUGGGGUCGGCACUGCUCGUCGGCUUCCUGUCGGUGAUCUUCGCCCUCGUCUGGGUCCUCCACUACCGAGAGGGGCUUGGCUGGGAUGGGAGCGCACUAGAGUUUAACUGGCACCCAGUGCUCAUGGUCACCGGCUUCGUCUUCAUCCAGGGCAUCGGCUGGAGUGCAGUGGCGCAAUCUCGGCUCACUGCAACCUCUGCCUCCCGGGUUCAAGCGAUUCUCGUGCCUCAGCCUCCAGAAUAGCUGGGAUUACAGGUGCAUGCCACCCCAUGCCUGGCUAAUUUUUGUAUUUUUAGUAGAGAUGGGGUUUCACCAUGCUGGCCAGGCUGGUCUUGAACUCCUGACCUCAAGUGAUACCCCGCCUCAGCCUCUCAAAGUGCUGGGAUUACAGGCAUGAGCCACUGGGCCCAGCCAAACUGAGACAUUUUUAAGAAGAAAGGAGACAACAGGCAUAAAUCAGAUUGUUAAGAUUAGGAAU
RNAcentral lists this small RNA (549 nucleotides) under Pan troglodytes (chimpanzee). RNAcentral's name for it is "processed transcript". Lineage: Eukaryota; Metazoa; Chordata; Mammalia; Primates; Hominidae. The record is from RNAcentral.